UACUUAUCGAGAGUGACGGAGGGAACAGGCCCUUUGAAGUCCAGCAACCAUCAAGCAUGCUUGAAAGGUGCUAAAUCCUGCAGGUUUUUACCUGAAAGAUAAGGU
RNAcentral lists this non-coding RNA (105 nucleotides) under Schinkia azotoformans LMG 9581. RNAcentral's name for it is "Bacillus azotoformans LMG 9581 SAM riboswitch aptamer (S box leader)". It matches the Rfam family "SAM riboswitch aptamer (S box leader)". From Rfam's summary of the family: The SAM riboswitch is found upstream of a number of genes which code for proteins involved in methionine or cysteine biosynthesis in Gram-positive bacteria. Lineage: Bacteria; Bacillati; Bacillota; Bacilli; Caryophanales; Bacillaceae. The record is from Rfam by way of RNAcentral.